AGUGAACGCUGGCGGUAGGCCUAACACACGCAAGUCGAACGGCAGCACAGGAGAGCUUGCUCUCUGGGUGGCGAGUGGCGGACGGGUGAGGAAUACAUCGGAAUCUACUUUUUCGUGGGGGAUAACGUAGGGAAACUUACGCUAAUACCGCAUACGACCUACGGGUGAAAGCAGGGGAUCUUCGGACCUUGCGCGAUUGAAUGAGCCGAUGUCGGAUUAGCUAGUUGGCGGGGUAAAGGCCCACCAAGGCGACGAUGCGUAGCUGGUCUGAGAGGAUGAUCAGCCACACUGGAACUGAGACACGGUCCAGACUCCUACGGGAGGCAGCAGUGGGGAAUAGUGGACAAUGGGCGCAAGCCUGAUCCAGCCAUACCGCGUGGGUGAAGAAGGCCUUCGGGUUGUAAAGCCCUUUUGUUGGGAAAGAAAUCCAGCUGGUUAAUACCCGGUUGGGAUGACGGUACCCAAAGAAUAAGCACCGGCUAACUUCGUGCCAGCCGCCGCGGUAA
This 506-nucleotide ribosomal RNA is filed under the name uncultured bacterium. Its description in RNAcentral is "partial 16S ribosomal RNA". It matches the Rfam family "Bacterial small subunit ribosomal RNA", at positions 29 to 523 of the family's 1533-position model. The record is from RNAcentral.